Molecule: ribosomal RNA, 616 nt
Filed under: uncultured Legionella sp.
Lineage: Bacteria; Pseudomonadati; Pseudomonadota; Gammaproteobacteria; Legionellales; Legionellaceae
Description: bacterial SSU rRNA
Rfam family: Bacterial small subunit ribosomal RNA
Source: RNAcentral
UAGCUAGUUGGUGGGGUAAGGGCCUACCAAGGCGACGAUCGGUAGCUGGUCUGAGAGGAUGGCCAGCCACACUGGGACUGAGACACGGCCCAGACUCNUACGGGAGGCAGCAGUGGGGAAUAUUGGACAAUGGGGGGAACCCUGAUCCAGCAAUGCCGCGUGUGNGAAGAAGGCCUGAGGGUUGUAAAGCACUUUCAGUGGGGAGGAGGAUAUAUUGGUUAAGAGCUGAUGUAUUGGACGUUACCCACAGAAGAAGCACCGGCUAACUCCGUGCCAGCAGCCGCGGUAAUACGGAGGGUGCGAGCGUUAAUCGGAAUUACUGGGCGUAAAGGGUGCGUAGGUGGUUUAAUAAGUUAGCUGUGAAAUCCCUGGGCUUAACCUGGGCAGGUCAGCUAAGACUGUUAGACUAGAGUAUAGGAGAGGGUAGUGGAAUUUCCGGUGUAGCGGUGAAAUGCGUAGAGAUCGGAAGGAACACCGGUGGCGAAGGCGGCUACCUGGCCAGAUACUGACACUGAGGCACGAAAGCGUGGGGAGCAAACAGGAUUAGAUACCCUGGUAGUCCACGCUGUAAACGAUGUCAACUAGCUGUUGGUCAUAUGAAGAUGAUUAGUGGCGC